RNAcentral lists this ribosomal RNA (460 nucleotides) under uncultured bacterium. RNAcentral's name for it is "partial 16S ribosomal RNA". It matches the Rfam family "Bacterial small subunit ribosomal RNA", at positions 338 to 795 of the family's 1533-position model. The record is from RNAcentral.
CCUACGGGAGGCAGCAGUGAGGAAUAUUGGUCAAUGGACGAGAGUCUGAACCAGCCAAGUAGCGUGAAGGAUGACUGCCCUAUGGGUUGUAAACUUCUUUUAUAUGGGAAUAAAAUGUUCCACGUGUGGGAUUUUGUAUGUACCAUAUGAAUAAGGAUCGGCUAACUCCGUGCCAGCAGCCGCGGUAAUACGGAGGAUCCGAGCGUUAUCCGGAUUUAUUGGGUUUAAAGGGAGCGUAGGUGGAUUGAUAAGUCAGUUGUGAAAGUUUGCGGCUCAACCGUAAAAUUGCAGUUGAAACUGGCAGUCUUGAGUACAGUAGAGGUGGGCGGAAUUCGUGGUGUAGCGGUGAAAUGCUUAGAGAUCACGAAGAACUCCGAUUGCGAAGGCAGUUCACUGGACUGCAACUGACACUGAGGCUCGAAAGUGUGGGUAUCAAACAGGAUUAGAUACCCCGGUAGUC